RNAcentral lists this microRNA precursor (93 nucleotides) under Canis lupus familiaris (dog). Its description in RNAcentral is "mir-8799 microRNA precursor family". It matches the Rfam family "mir-8799 microRNA precursor family". The record is from Rfam by way of RNAcentral. Lineage: Eukaryota; Metazoa; Chordata; Mammalia; Carnivora; Canidae.
AGGGGAACGUCGGAUCCCGGGCUGUGUCCCCGGCGCCCUGGGAUCCGGGGCCUGCGCUGCUGGAAUCACGCUCCCGGGGCCGCACAGCCCCCU